UACGUAGGGUGCGAGCGUUAAUCGGAAUUACUGGGCGUAAAGCGUGCGCAGGCGGUUUUGCAAGCCGGAUGUGAAAUCCCCGGGCUCAACCUGGGAAUGGCAUUUGGGACUGCAAGGCUGGAGUGCGGCAGAGGAGACUGGAAUUCCUGGUGUAGCAGUGAAAUGCGUAGAUAUCAGGAGGAAUACCGAUGGCGAAGGCAGGUCUCUGGGCUGACACUGACGCUCAUGCACGAAAGCGUGGGGAGCAAACAGG
RNAcentral lists this ribosomal RNA (253 nucleotides) under uncultured bacterium. RNAcentral's name for it is "partial 16S ribosomal RNA". It matches the Rfam family "Bacterial small subunit ribosomal RNA", at positions 524 to 776 of the family's 1533-position model. The record is from RNAcentral.